Molecule: ribosomal RNA, 253 nt
Filed under: uncultured bacterium
Lineage: Bacteria
Description: partial 16S ribosomal RNA
Rfam family: Bacterial small subunit ribosomal RNA
Source: RNAcentral
UACGAACUGUGCAAACGUUAUUCGGAUUCACUGGGCGUAAAGGGUGCGUAGGCGGUCGGGUAAGUCUGAUGUGAAAUCUCACAGCUUAACUGUGAAACUGCAUUGGAUACUAUCCGGCUCGAGGAAUGGAGGGGAGACUGGAAUACUUGGUGUAGCAGUGAAAUGCGUAGAUAUCAAGUGGAACACCAGUGGCGAAGGCGGGUCUCUGGACAGUUCCUGACGCUGAGGCACGAAGGUCAGGGGAGCAAACGGG